RNAcentral lists this ribosomal RNA (181 nucleotides) under uncultured bacterium. RNAcentral describes it as "partial 16S ribosomal RNA". It matches the Rfam family "Bacterial small subunit ribosomal RNA", at positions 1319 to 1500 of the family's 1533-position model. The record is from RNAcentral.
CAUGAAGCUGGAAUCGCUAGUAAUCGCGGAUCAGAAUGCCGCGGUGAAUACGUUCCCGGGUCUUGUACACACCGCCCGUCACACCAUGGGAGUCGGGAAUACCCGAAGCCUGUGAGCUAACUUAUAGAGGCAGCAGUCGAAGGUAGAAUCAAUGAUUGGGGUGAAGUCGUAACAAGGUAUC